AAAGGAAUAGACGGGGGCCCGCACAAGCAGUGGAGUAUGUGGUUUAAUUCGAGGCAACGCGAAGAACCUUACCAGGGCUUGACAUCCCUCGGAUUACGUAGAAAUACGUAAGACCUUCGGGACGAGGAGACAGGUGGUGCAUGGUUGUCGUCAGCUCGUGUCGUGAGAUGUUGGGUUAAGUCCCGCAACGAGCGCAACCCCUGUUGUUAGUUGCCAUCAAGUAAAGUUGGGCACUCUAACAAGACUGCCGGUGACAAAUCGGAGGAAGGUGGGGACGACGUCAAAUCAUCAUGCCCCUUAUGUCCUGGGCUACACACGUACUACAAUGGCUACUACAGAGGGCAGCGAAGCUGUGAAGUGAAGCGAAUCCCAGAAAAGUAGUCUCAGUUCGGAUUGUGGUCUGCAACUCGACCACAUGAAGCAGGAAUUGCUAGUAAUGGCAGGUCAGCAUACUGCCGUGAAUACGUUCCCGGGCCUUGUACACACCGCCCGU
Molecule: ribosomal RNA, 493 nt
Filed under: uncultured bacterium
Lineage: Bacteria
Description: bacterial SSU rRNA
Rfam family: Bacterial small subunit ribosomal RNA
Source: RNAcentral